Molecule: non-coding RNA, 1365 nt
Organism: Maylandia zebra (zebra mbuna)
Lineage: Eukaryota; Metazoa; Chordata; Actinopteri; Cichliformes; Cichlidae
Source: RefSeq, a predicted model, not a curated record
GUGGCAGCUCCACGCUUCCAUAAUUUGGUAAUCAAAAUAUGUAACUUAAUUAAUUAUAUUGUGACGUACUUUUGCCUUUUCUUAUUAUUCUGCCUUCUCAAUAACUAUCAAAGCCUAUUCACAUUUAAUUUGGCUUUCACAGAAAUCCUACCUCUCCUUCUGGCUACAGAGUACUUACCAAGGUUAGAAACAAAGAACAGUUAUGCUUUAUUAAUGUUCGCUAAUUACAAUGUUCCACAUUUCCUUGCUUUUUAAGUCAUUUUUAGGCUUUUUAGAGUUUUUGUUUUUUAUUUUUUUAGCAGUAAUGUUUCUGCCUAUUUAUUUCAGCCCAUGAAAUCGAAUGCAGAUCUUCCUAAUGUGAGAUUUACAUAAAUGUAAGUAAUUUUGUUUGUCAUUGUCAUUAAUGUUGUUGCUGUUGUUGUUUUUGUGCAGUUUGCAAUCAUAUAAACCUAGCAAGCAUCAGUCAGCACAGUGACUAACCUAAACAGAUUCUUGCUUUAUUCACAUAUAUUAUAUGUAAUUAUAUAUACCUGCACAUUGUACCUAGGGUUGCAGCCACUUGGCCCCACCCCAUUGUUGUGACAGCCCUGAUUGUACUUAUACACUGCAUCUGAACAGGGAACAGUCUGCCACAUUAAUGUAUUUUUAAGUGACUUGUUUGUAAUACAUGAAUUUGUUUUUUACAGAUGUCAAAGUCUCAACCUCAUGCUGCCCUCCCCCAUCCUCCUAAAGUAAGUAUUUGUUGUUGUAGUUUUUUAUGCGGUGUCUGUGUCACAUGCUAAUCAUAAUUAUUGAAAUAACUGUUUUCUAACAGAUUUUCCAAAACACUAGUUAGGUUUGUUGUCAUUCAGACCAAUACUACUGCUUAGACAUUGCAUAUGCAUAGAUACAGUCGUAGUGCUUGACACAUGCAAACAGCAGUAGAUGUACUAAAAAGGAAAUAAUUACAAUCAUGAUGUUGAUUGCUGAUGUCAGUAUAUAUAUUUUAGAGGAAUGUUUUGUUUUUCACCCAAAAUGAACUAUAUUGCUUCAGAAGAGAUUUAUUACCCUACCGGACUCUUAUAUAUUGUUCUGUUUUUUGUUUGUUUUUGUUAUUUUCAGGUUCAAUGGUGCGUGUUCUUCUAAUGGCCGCCUUCCCACUGGAGGUUUUGAUCCACAGCAAUUUAAAAGGAGGACAGAGCAAAACGGACAUCGGCGCAGAGUGAAGAACUGCCCUUGAUAAGGACACUAUGACAGCCAUAUAUAUGGCGGUAAGGAAGGGGUUUCCCAGCAUGUCCAGAAGGGCUUUGAGGAUUGCCGUGAAAGCUGGGGGAACUGAGACUGCUGGAAAAGGAAAAGAAAUUACAUUUUAAGUAUGCUGACUUA